UACGGAGGGUGCAAGCGUUAUCCGGAUUUACUGGGUUUAAAGGGUGCGUAGGCGGCUUUUUAAGUCAGUGGUGAAAGCCUAGUGCUUAACACCAGAAUGGCCAUUGAUACUGGAAAGCUUGAGUCAAGGAGAGGUAAGCAGAAUUUAUGGUGUAGCAGUGAAAUGCUUAGAUACCAUAAGGAAUACCAAUAGCGAAGGCAGCUUACUGGCCUUGAACUGACGCUGAGGCACGAAAGCGUGGGGAGCAAACAGG
This 253-nucleotide ribosomal RNA is filed under the name uncultured bacterium. RNAcentral's name for it is "partial 16S ribosomal RNA". It matches the Rfam family "Bacterial small subunit ribosomal RNA", at positions 524 to 776 of the family's 1533-position model. The record is from RNAcentral.